This 66-nucleotide transfer RNA is filed under the name Sepiadariidae sp. GS-2020. RNAcentral describes it as "tRNA-Pro". Lineage: Eukaryota; Metazoa; Mollusca; Cephalopoda; Sepiida; Sepiadariidae. The record is from RNAcentral.
CAAAAGGUAAUUUAAUUAAAAUAUUAACAUUGGAAGUUAAAAAUUGAGUGUGUACUUAUCUUUUGA